GUCCUGAUAUGUGCAGAGACCUCAGAGAAGCUCAAAUUAGCUUUUGUCUUCCCUGAGUUUCAAGAACAAAGAGCGCAACCCAAUUCCCUUGCAGGAGAAAAUUCAUUGCUGCCACCCCUACCAAGAGGGAUCAGUAUCCUCACCAUGGACCUCUGCUUAGGAAAGGUGGCAUUCAAAGGCAACCAGACAUCUCUACUGCCAGCUCAUCAGGCUGGCAGAGAGAAAAUUGCCCAGGGAACGUCUUCUACUACUGAGAUCUGGAAAUACAGUCCUAAAAAGAAAAAAAGUUCCCUCCCCAUGUGGAGGUAUCUUUCUUUCUCCAGAGAGAAGCAGAUGGGCUUCCUUGGUGGCUCAGCUGGUAAAGAAGCCUGCAAUGUGGGAGACCUGGGUUCAAUCCCUGGGUUGACAAGAUCCCCUGGAGAAGGGAAAGGCUACCUACUUCAGUAUUCUGGCCUGGAGAAUUCCAUGGACUAUUCCCUUCAACGUGCUUGUGUGAUUCAUUUAUAAUAAGUUAAAUGCAUUUUUCACAAUCUGUAUCCUAUCUUGGUUCCCCCAUCCUGAUAGGUUUUAAAAAAAAUAUAUUUAUGUAAUAAAAUUCACUUUUGUGGUGUACAGUUCCAUCAGUUUGGGCAAAUGCACAGAGUAGUAUUAUGAACCAUCAUUUUAUACACAAUUCUAUCAUCCAAAAGUUUCUCCUACUAUUCCUGUAGAGAGAACCUUCCCCCAACCCAUGAUCCAUCAAUUACUCAUUGGUUUUCCUCCUUAUGAUUUUGCCCUUUCCAGAGUACUGUGUGAAUAGAAUCAAACAACUCUGGGUCUGGCUUCUUUCACUUUGUAAAAUGCAGCUAAGAUUCAUACAUGCUAUUUUAUAAAUCCGUAGUCUGUUCUAUUUUAUUGCUGAAAGAAUUCUAUUAUAUGGAUGUAUUAUAUUUUAUGGAACAUCAAGGUUGUUUCCAGUUUUAAAGCAGCUAUGAAUAUUUACUUACAGGUUUUUGUACGAACGUAUUUUCUUUACUUUUGGAUGUACACCUCAGAGUGGGAUUGCUGGGUCACAUGGAAGAGAGCCAGCCUCUCCUUCACCCAACCAAGUAGAGUUCAGUGUCUGGGUGGAAAGGAAGAUGCAUUCCAGCUGUCCCCAAAAUGAAGAAAAGCAGAAGAUGGUUUCCGCCCCCCCUUCUUCAGUGAAAUAAACCUGACCUUCUGAUAGGAGAGUCUGUCUUGAAUCAGAAAUGGUUUAACUAAAUCACAACAGGAAGCAUCUCCAGUUACAGCCCAACUUGCUCUAGGUCCUGAUGGAUGAAGAUAGCAUGCCACUUGACUUCAUGAAACUCGGGGUGUAGCAGGUAGUUGCCCUAAGGGGCCUAUAC
Bos taurus (domestic cattle) is the source of this 1367-nucleotide long non-coding RNA. NCBI's taxonomy places the organism in Eukaryota, Metazoa, Chordata, Mammalia, Artiodactyla, Bovidae. The record is from Ensembl.